Long non-coding RNA from Tachysurus fulvidraco (yellow catfish), 1469 nucleotides. RefSeq lists it as uncharacterized. The record is from RefSeq and is a predicted model, not a curated record. The transcript has 3 exons. Lineage: Eukaryota; Metazoa; Chordata; Actinopteri; Siluriformes; Bagridae.
UUGGAUGAAUAUGCACCAAAGAUGAUCAUGUUGUGCCGAUCAUGUGGUGGAACCUAUGGAGAUGAAAUGAAGACCCUCCUAGACCAACUUGACAAAGCUUCUGAUGUGCUUGCUCAAAGAAAAGCUACAGCUCUCGAAGGUCUACCUUUGUUUAUGAGGGAAAAUUCUGGAAACUUCCUGAAGACUUGCCUGAACUGCUCCAACAACAAACCCAGAAAGAACCAAAGGCCAGAAGAAUGACAUGUGGAAUUUCAUCAAUGAAGAUGGUUAUGUAACCUAUACUAAUACGCCUGAUAAAGAUGUUUUAGAUUUAAUUAAAAAGAAUUUUAAUAAACCAACAUUAAAACAUAAUAUAAAAUAUGAUGAAGGGGUUUUAGAUUUUACGAAAAAUAAUUCUAAUAAACCAUUAAGUGAUAGAAAAGUUUUAAAAGAUACAUUUUUGCAAAUUCUCAAACAAAAUCUUCAACUCUUUGAACCAACUCUCAAGUCUUUAAUGGAAAACAAAUAUAAUCAACAAGCAUUUGGUAUUUUAAAAAAGACAAACAAUGAAGUAAAUAAUGUGCAAUGUGAUUUAAUUACUGAAACAAAAGAAGAAGAAUGUAUGACCAAUGAGAUUGAAUUAAUCGGUCCCUUUGGUCGAAAGCGUAAAAAACACAGUGAGGAUCUCUUAAUUAAAAAACUUAAGGAAAGGAAAAAUAUUUCUGAAGUUUGGAUAUACACAACAAAUAGUCCUUGUUUAGGUAAAAAAUCUCAUUCCCCUGAAUCUCAUCAUCCCUGUUUGUAUAAUUUUAUCAAUUAUGCAAAAAAUCAUAACAUUAAAAUCUACAUCGGUUUCUCAAAAUAUUAUAUCUUUGGCAAAGACAUGUAUAAAUUUAUUAAAAAUCUGGAAGAAUUUAGAAACUGGAAUCCUGAUCAUCAAUUACAGGUUAAAUUCAAUAUUACAGAAUUCAAAUUUAAAGCAGCCAGUAAUAUAAUAAAGAACAUUAUUUCUGAAUAUUCAUGCUUAGAAAUGACAUACAGCGAGUGGCAUCAGACAGGAUCAGAAACAUCAGUAAAGUUCGAGUCCACACUGAGAAAAGAGAUGAUGGAGAGCUCUGAUGAAGAGUUCAAUAAGAUUACAGAGGAGUUUAAGAUAUGGUGGACUCUAAGUGUAGAUGAAAAUCUAAACAGACAUGUACUCCCAUCCGUUUUUAAACACAUCCAGGGUCUUUAUCCUAAUCUAGAGUUUUUCCAGGUUGAUUUGGAGCAAAUCUUGAAUUUUGCUAAUGAGGAAUAAUUAGAAUAUAAUUGGAAUAAAUCUCGCUAAUGCUAAUUUACUCACUAAUGCUGAGUUGUCAAAAAUGGGAGAAAUUACUUUAGAAGAGUGUCCUAAUAGUGUGUGUCCAGGGUACAGUAUUAACUACCCUGUGUUUGUCUCAUUAGCUUAUGUGCACUAAUACUACUACUACUUAUUGAGGCAUUGUACACAA